RNAcentral lists this ribosomal RNA (460 nucleotides) under uncultured bacterium. RNAcentral's name for it is "partial 16S ribosomal RNA". It matches the Rfam family "Bacterial small subunit ribosomal RNA", at positions 338 to 795 of the family's 1533-position model. The record is from RNAcentral.
CCUACGGGGGGCAGCAGUGAGGAAUAUUGGUCAAUGGGCGUAAGCCUGAACCAGCCAAGUCGCGUGAGGGAUGAAGGUUCUAUGGAUCGUAAACCUCUUUUAUAAGGGAAUAAAGUGUGGGACGUGUCCUAUUUUGUAUGUACCUUAUGAAUAAGGAUCGGCUAACUCCUUGCCAGCAGCGGCGUUAAUACGGAGGAUCCGAGCGUUUUCCGGAUUUAUUGGGUUUAAAGGGUGCGUAGGCGGCCUUUUAAGUAAGCGGUGAAAGUCUGUGGCUAAACCAUAGAAUUGCCGUUGAAACUGGGGGGCUUGAGUAUGUUUGAGGCAGGCGGAAUGCGUGGUGUAGCGGUGAAAUGCUUAGAUAUCACGCAGAACCCCGAUUGCGAAGGCAGCCUGCCAAGCCAUGACUGACGCUGAUGCACGAAAGUGUGGGGAUCAAACAGGAUUAGAUACCCGGGUAGUC